UACGAAGGGUGCAAACGUUGCUCGGAAUUAUUGGGCGUAAAGCGCACGUAGGCGGCUUGCCAAGUCGGACGUGAAAUCCCUCAGCUCAACUGAGGACGUGCAUCCGAAACUGGCGAGCUUGAGUACUGAAGAGGAUCGCGGAAUUCCCGGUGUAGAGGUGAAAUUCGUAGAUAUCGGGAGGAACACCAGUGGCGAAGGCGGCGAUCUGGGCAGAUACUGACGCUGAGGUGCGAAAGCGUGGGGAG
RNAcentral lists this ribosomal RNA (245 nucleotides) under uncultured Haliangium sp. RNAcentral's name for it is "partial 16S ribosomal RNA". It matches the Rfam family "Bacterial small subunit ribosomal RNA", at positions 524 to 768 of the family's 1533-position model. Lineage: Bacteria; Pseudomonadati; Myxococcota; Haliangiales; Kofleriaceae. The record is from RNAcentral.